Molecule: ribosomal RNA, 405 nt
Filed under: uncultured bacterium
Lineage: Bacteria
Description: bacterial SSU rRNA
Rfam family: Bacterial small subunit ribosomal RNA
Source: RNAcentral
GACGAACGCUGGCGGCGCGCCUAAUACAUGCAAGUCGAACGAGAAGCUGUAGCAAUACGUUUGUAAAGCGGCGAACGGGUGAGGAAUACAUGGGUAACCUACCCUCGAGUGGGGAAUAACUAGCCGAAAGGUUAGCUAAUACCGCGUACGCUUCUUGGACUUCGGUUCAGGGAGGAAAGCGAUACCGUGGGUAUCGCGCUCUUGGAUGGGCUCAUGUCCUAUCAGCUUGUUGGUGAGGAACGGCUCACCAAGGCUUCGACGGGUAGCUGGUCUGAGAGGACGAUCAGCCACACUGGCACUGCGACACGGGCCAGACUCCUACGGGAGGCAGCAGUAAGGAGUAUUGCGCAAUGGGCGAAAGCCUGACGCAGCGACGCCGCGUGGGGGAUGAAGGUCUUCGGGAUU